CGCUCGUACCUCCGAUUCCAAGGAAUCACACGGAACGGCUCGGCCUCGCGUCUUUCUUCUCCCCCUGCGACUCCCGCAACCGCGCCGCCGCCACUCCCUCUUCUAUCUCUCCAUCUGCGCCACCCGUCUCUCCCACUAGUGCGCCGCCUCUCCUCUUCCAUCCCUCUCUGGCGAUGCAUCUCCAUCACCUAUCAGCUCCGCGUCGGGUGGCUGCAGAUCUCCAUGUCGAGCUGCUGUGGAUCUCUGGCGAUGCUCCAUGUCGGGUCGCUGCGGAUCUCCGUGAGCUGAAACUGGAUCGCGGUAAGCGGCUGCACCUCGCAAGCAAGCUAUGUGCUGGUGAACUCGUUGCUGUCCCUCAGUAGCGACUUUGUGGUGUCGGCCAGUGACUGCCAGCUCCGGCUGCAGUGCUAAUCCCUUAUCUAUGUGCCACAGUUGGGCAAGCAGCGACAAUCAACUACUGAAUCGAUUCGGGAAUACGUAUUAUUGUGUUCUGAAACUUGGUAGAUUUUCCUAAUCACAGCAGCAUGAUUUUGUGUAAAUGGCUAGUAUUUUGACAUAUCUUUUGACAUAUAUAUGGAUGGAGGCUUUGCAUUUUGACAUGAAUAUGAAUGCAUAACUUGUAUUUUGACAGUUUUUAGGCUAGUUUUUUGACAGAUUUUUGACAUGUACUAUAUGAGUGAAUAACUAGUAUUUUGUUUGGCACUUUUUAUUAUGUGUUAUAAAUACAAAGACUAAUGACAAUCAUGCAUAUAUGUGACAUCAAAUGCCUUCCAUUACUUUAUUUCUAACUAAACACUGAAAUGGAACCGUUCCAUUAUACCUACUUGCCCAACCAAACGUAGGAACGGAAUCAACCCAUUCUAGUGGAAUGGAAUGUCACGAAACCAUGACAUUCCAUUCCACUUCGUUCCCGAACCAAACACACCCUAUCUCUAUGGCCAAGGUCAUUGCCUGUGGACAGGCAUAGAGUGUUCAUUGUUAAUUUAAAAAUGUUCAUGUCUAUUUUAAGAAAAUCAACAUUAAUUCAAAUAUUGUUCAGGUGUAUUUAAAAA
RNAcentral lists this ribosomal RNA (1052 nucleotides) under Triticum aestivum (bread wheat). RNAcentral's name for it is "partial small subunit ribosomal RNA". Lineage: Eukaryota; Viridiplantae; Streptophyta; Magnoliopsida; Poales; Poaceae. The record is from RNAcentral.